Molecule: ribosomal RNA, 157 nt
Filed under: Pichia kluyveri
Lineage: Eukaryota; Fungi; Ascomycota; Pichiomycetes; Pichiales; Pichiaceae
Also listed under: 1 other name
Description: 5.8S ribosomal RNA
Rfam family: 5.8S ribosomal RNA
About the family: 5.8S ribosomal RNA (5.8S rRNA) is a component of the large subunit of the eukaryotic ribosome. It is transcribed by RNA polymerase I as part of the 45S precursor that also contains 18S and 28S rRNA. Functionally, it is thought that 5.8S rRNA may be involved in ribosome translocation.
Source: RNAcentral
AACUUUCAACAACGGAUCUCUUGGUUCUCGCAUCGAUGAAGAGCGCAGCGAAAUGCGAUACCUAGUGUGAAUUGCAGCCAUCGUGAAUCAUCGAGUUCUUGAACGCACAUUGCGCCCCAUGGUAUUCCAUGGGGCAUGCCUGUCUGAGCGUCGUUUC